AAAAGAAUUACAAUUGCCUUGGAUAAGCAACAAGUCAUCUGUCCAUGAACUGAGUAUGGUUACACGAUCAGCAGAGAGAAGAAUUUCUUAAAUUAUAAAGUGUCCUGGGAACAGAGCUAUUGUUACUGCCUAAUAGAGUGGAGAGAAAACUCUUCUUGUCUGUGGAGCUGUUUCUUUUGUGCUUUCAUAUUGAAGUGAAGCUUCACAAACCAGCAUAAGAGGAUUUCCCUUCAAGAUGUCAAAAAACUGAGGCAUCCUGAUCCUC
Molecule: long non-coding RNA, 265 nt
Filed under: Coturnix japonica (Japanese quail)
Lineage: Eukaryota; Metazoa; Chordata; Aves; Galliformes; Phasianidae
Description: lncRNA (ENSCJPG00005021488.1)
Source: RNAcentral